UCGCUCUGUCACCCAGGCUGGACUGCAGUGGCGCGAUCUUGGCUCACUGCAACCUCCGCCUCCUGGAUUCAAGCGAUUCUUCUGCCUCAGCCUCCCGAGUAGCUAGGAUUACAGGCAUGUGUCACCACGCCCGGCUAAUUUUGUAUUUUUAGUAGAGACGGGGUUUCUCCGUGUUGGUCAGGCUGGUCUCGAACUCCUGACCUCAGGUGAUCUGCCCGCCUCGGCCUCCCAAAGUGCUGAGAUUACAGACGUGAGCCACCGUGCCUGGCGGAAUUUUCAUAUUUUAAGUCCCCCACCCUUGGACAUUUAGAUUUUUUCCAUCUUUCUGUAUUUGCAGAUAUGCUUCUACGUACACCUUUAUUCAUUUGCUUGAACAUUUCCCUGAGAAAAACUAGAAAUGGAAUUGCCAGAUUACUUUGUGUACAUGUUUCCAAACUGUCCUCCAGAAAGAAUGUAAUGCUUUGAACUUCCACUUGAGAAUCAAAUGUUUACCUUCCUCUGUUCCUCCAGAUUUGGACAUUUACAGUGUUCAGCCGUUGUUGUGGCAUUCCAAUUCAAUUGGGAAACAGCUUGAUGUAGCGUCCCCAUAAGGUCCACAGUAAUUAAAUUUUUUUUUUUUUUUUUUGGUGCGGUAGUGCAAUUUCAUGGCUCACUGCAACCUCCACCUCCCAGGUUCAAGCGAUCCUCCCAUCUCAGCCUCCCUAGUAGCUGGGAUUACAGGUGCACGCCACCACACCAGGCUAAUUUUUGUAUUUUUAGUAGAGAUGGGGUUUCACCAGGUUAGCCAGGCUGGUCUUGAACUCCAGACCUCAAGGGAUCCGCCUGCCUCAGCUUUCCAAAGUGCUGGGAUUACAGGUGGAGACUGGACCUCAGAAGAGGGAGUGGGUGCCCCGAGAACUCACAGCUAGCGGACAGUGGAAAGGGCAGGAGCCGGACCAAGGUGAGGACAGUGGAACUGAAGGCCGCUGGUUACCUCUCCUGCCCUCCGCUGGCCACAGUGGAGAAGACAGCCCCUCCCUCCUGCUCUGACCUGACAGUGUUCAUCCAUCGCCCUGUAUUAGCGAAGAACAACAUCAAGCUGGCUAGCAAGGAACUGUAUACAGGGUCCAGCUGGGUAUCACACUGGAUCUCACCCAAAGCUUAGAUGUGAUCCAGCUCAGUAUCACAAAGCAGAACGAAAAGGAUGUGUUUGGGCUGAGAGGCCAUACAUUGGCUCCGGCAUGACGGGUGACUUCUUCCGAGUCUGGCUUCUGCAGCACACAGGGCUUCGCCAGCACCCAGCUCCUGCAGCAUGGGCAGCUCCUGUGACAGCAGGCGCCCGCAGCCUGCAAAGCGUCUCCAGUGCCGCCGCCUCAGUGAACCUCAACCAGCGGCACCUAGCAGCUUUCUCUGCCACCCUCUUCAGGUAGUUCUGUAGCAGCGCGUUUCUCAUGAGACACUUCCCUGUGAGCAGCUUUUUCUACCCUUGAGGAUGGAUUUCCAGCAAAUUCUGCCCAUGUGGUACCACAGCCACUUCUCUGCCAUUCAGUGAAACUGCCGUUGUGCCCUCUUCAAGGUCUGGAUCUAAGCCCAGGGACCAGGAAACCUCUUGCUUGAGUGCUGGAACUCAGGCCAGAAGGACAUCCCUGUAGAAGUUCUGCUGCGUGUGGUCCAGCCGUCCCCACUCCUCCCGGGAGAGGUACAAGGCCACAUCCUCGAAAGUCACUGGCAUCUGAAACAAUGUGAAACAUCCACUCUCCAGGACAUGACGUGGACACGGUGGAGGGACACCAUGGCAUGAGAUGUGUGGUGAGACCCCGGACUCCCAACCCACUGUGUCGAGUGAGGCCUGCCACUUCCAUCUGAUCGGGAAGCAGGUGAGCCACCCAAGGCCUUCUGGGGAGUUGAGAAAGAACAAAGACCAAGAGGUAUUUUCAGGGAUCACAGUUAAGACUUAGGAUGUCCAUGCAGCCCCCAGCCUCAGCUGAGACCUCGGAGGACGGUUCCCAACGGCUACCAGCGAGAGGCCCUGUGUCUCUAAUUCCUGCUGCUUCUCCUCCAGCUUUGGCCCAGGCCUGACCAUGGGCCUUGAGCCUGGACAAUUCCAGCAACACUAGCAAGAGCCCCAGGCUUCAGGCUUGGCUGCAAGUGGGGCCAGCGGGGUCCUGGCUUUCACACAGAACCAGCAGAUGCAGGAAGGGCUGAGUACCAUGCAGGGGCCGGGGAAGGGCCACUCACCUGGGACCAGGCAGUGAGGAGCGCUGCAGCCAUCUGCCGGUCUCUGGUCCUCCCCUCUCGGGAAAGCACGGGGAUCCGGGGGGAGGGGAGGGCUGUGGGAGGAGAGAGGUCCUCACGGUGAUCAGCUCAUCCUGCUGGACCUGCUGCUACUUCAGCUGCCUCAAACUCCACCCCUGGCCCGACCCAAGGACAGGGUCGGAUGGCUCUGACGCUGCCAGGGGGCUGUGGGCCAUGGGGGGAUAGCGUCCCCUGCUGGCAUAGAGACCCUCAGCCCCACCUGGACCUGGGCCAAACCUCCACCUCCCCACAGCUGCCUCCCUGGGAAAGCGCCUCUUCCCCGUCCCUCUCCUACCUCCGCCAGGCAGGAAGAGAGCUUUCUCCUUAGAGCCGUGACUUAGGGGUGCCCAGCCCCAGGCACCUUGAGCCCCAUCCUCCUGCGAUGCCCCCUCGGAGUGUGGCUCUUCGGGCUCCAUCUUAAUGUGCAGUGACUCCUGAGUGUCCCCUGAAGGUACCGCCUCCCCCAGCUUAGAAGGCAUUUCCUGAUGAGGAUGUCCACGAUCUGGAACCUAGAAAGGACAGCCCCAUCAGCACCCAGAUGAGUGGGAGAGACACCCAGGGCCACAUGGCAGUGCGCUCCGGCAGCGUCGGAAACCAACAUGCAAGACGCAGCUUGAAGGACUGUCCUUGCUGCAUUCAUCCAGCUCACCCCAGCAAGGACGGGCGGCAAGAGGAGGAAUAUUCACCAAGCCGCCUCCACAGUGCCGGUGGGCGUGGUGCCCAAGGGCAGCUACCCCUUCUCAGCUCCAGCCUCACACUGACCUCAGCAGUGUAGACUGCUGUCUAUUAGUGUAUGAAGAAACCAAGUGUAGUGGCUUGAAUAGUGUCCUCUAAGAAUCCGUGUCCUCCCUGGACCUCAGAAUGGGACCUUAUUGGGGAAAAGGGUCUUUAUACAGGAGAGGACACAGAGACACAGAGAAGGAAGCAGAGACUGGAGGGAUGCCCACACCAAGGACACCAGGAGCCCCCAAGGAGUUGGAAGAGGUAAGGGAGGGUCCUCUUAGUCUAGAGCUUUCAAAAGGAGUGUGACCCUGCUGACACCUAGAUUUUGGACUGCAGGCCUCCAGGACUGUGAGAGAGCCAAUUCUGGUUGUUUUCAGCCCCCCAGAGAGUGGAAACUUGUUACAGCAGCCACGGGAGACUAACACACCAUGGCUGGGGAUGAGACAAUGCCCCGUGACCACAUAGCUCAAAAGCUUUGGGAAAGUCAGGGAGGGCCCUGGUGGGGCCUCAUCCACAGCACAGGAACUGGCCGGACUUCUGCUGGGGUCUCACACUCCUUCCUCCACGCCCUGUCUGUGUUUGGGUCUUGAAGGGAAAGAACCUCAGGCCAGGAAUCAGAGUGCCUGGGUGCCAGACCCAGCGACACCCCUCCCCAAUCAGGCAGCCUUCAGGACGCAGCUGCUCUGCCCCUGCACAGAAUGGUCAUGAGGUUCACGCAGAUAAUGAUGGAGAAGGAGCUGCCAGCUCAGGAAAGUCCUGGAUAAACACAGGGUGGCGCUGGUCAUUAAUCCCCCCCGCCGUGCGCACCAGACAGAAGCCAGUGCCAGCAGAGAAUGCCAACAUGUGGGGCUCUACUGACAUGCCCAAGGUGUUCAAGGCACACGGGAAGUGGAUGGGAAACUGAACCAUGCUAACAAUUCUUUGUGCUUCUAUGGCAUGAAAACCAUAGAUGAUGGCGUCUCAUGCCUAUUAUCCUUAGAGCCUCCCAGUGACCCUGCGAGACAGGUGGAAAUGGCAGGCAUGUGGUCUGCAUUUUACAGAUGACACAUCUGGUUCCCAGAGGCCAGGGACUGGCCCCUGGCCUGUCGCUGACUCAUACUCCUCCAACUCCAAGCCCGGAGACCCAGGUCCCCCACAAAUAGUAAUUACACACACACACUCAACCACGCACGCACACACACACGGGUAGCAGGUACAGGAAGGAGAAAGGACCGGGAGCUCAGACCCACAGAGAUGAGAAGCUGUGGUUCCAGGUGGAGAAGCACGGGGAAGGAGAACAGGUUUCCCUGUGUGCUCUGAGCGCUGCUCAGAAAGAAAACCUCACUGAUAGGACCUCCACCCAGACCUCUUCCAUCUCCUGUGGCCACUGGCUAGAGAAUUCACCAGCAAAGCAAAACUGUUAUGCUGUAAAUUCCAGACAGAGGGUACUACCCAGCAUGCCACCUUCUCUUUGAUCUCCCCACCCCAGUGAGUCUAACUCUUCCAGGGGUCCAGACUCUGUGCCUUGAAAAUCUCCUCCGCACCAGCCUCUUCUACCGCACACCUCCCUCAGCCAGCCCCAUCUGUACCUCCGGGGGUGUCUCCUUGUCCUGGGUGUCCUGGAUGCCUCCGCCGUCUGCAGACAUUUUCUAUUUCAGAGCUAGAAAGAACAGCUGAGUUGUUUCUCCCUCUUUUUGGCCAAGCCCCCUCCAGCUUCUGGCCAGGAGCCUAGAAGAGCAGACAGAAACCAGCCCUCGCUUCCUGGACACCCCCAAAGAGCCCUGAAAAUCCCCACGAGUACCAGCGCUCCCUGGUCCCAAUCGGAAAGAAAGUCUCCCAGAUCCUAUCCGAUGGUCCCACUCUCUGUGAU
Molecule: long non-coding RNA, 4846 nt
Filed under: Homo sapiens (human)
Lineage: Eukaryota; Metazoa; Chordata; Mammalia; Primates; Hominidae
Description: ZNF213 antisense RNA 1
Source: RNAcentral